UUGGCUUAAAAAUGGUUAAUUUUGAGCUCCCUGUGUAGUUACUGCUUGUCACAGCUGGGGAUGAAACCCCAUUCAGCCUUCACCUGUUUGUCUUGCCCCAUCGACUUUGUUGAAAAUAAACUUCCACAAAUGUUACCUGUAACAAAUAGUAGUAAUUUGCUGUGAUUUCACCAAGAAACUUGCAAUGAGAUUGUCUUAGAGCGUUUUACUACAUGUUUUGAAAGAGGUCAGUUGUGUAAAUUCUUUCUCUUUACCAAGUGGAAAUUAAUUUGGUUCUUCUUUCCCAAAGCAACGUUUCUAGAGCCCUAUAGGAGCUUUCUGCUGAAAAAGGCCUCUUUAAAUACAUGACGGAUCUGUAGAUUAAUUUGAAACUGUUUAAAAGUUUCUCAAGUGUCAUUUAACAUUUUUUUGCAAAGUGUAGAAAAAUAUUUAACUGUGGUCUUCCUGGAUAAAGCUGAUACACUUAAUACAGUUUAGAAUGUAAAUCUUCUUUGUAAAAUUUACUUCCAUUUUUUUUUUGCCUGUAUAGAAACAAAUCUCAGUUGUGAAAUCCAAAGAUGAAUAAAACUGUCUAAAGGGAA
Molecule: long non-coding RNA, 581 nt
Organism: Calidris pugnax (ruff)
Lineage: Eukaryota; Metazoa; Chordata; Aves; Charadriiformes; Scolopacidae
Exons: 2
Source: RefSeq, a predicted model, not a curated record